Molecule: ribosomal RNA, 253 nt
Filed under: uncultured bacterium
Lineage: Bacteria
Description: partial 16S ribosomal RNA
Rfam family: Bacterial small subunit ribosomal RNA
Source: RNAcentral
UACGUAGGGUGCAAGCGUUGUCCGGAAUUAUUGGGCGUAAAGAGCUCGUAGGUGGCCUGUCGCGUCGGCUGUGAAAACUCGGGGCUCAACUCCGAGCUUGCAGUCGAUACGGGCAGGCUAGAGUUCGGCAGGGGAGACUGGAAUUCCUGGUGUAGCGGUGAAAUGCGCAGAUAUCGGGAAGAACACCCGUGGCGAAGGCGGCUCUCUGGGACGGUACUGACGCUGAGACGCGAAAGCGUGGGGAGCAAACAGG